GAGGUUGUGGCUCAGUGGAAGAGCGCUCACCUAGCACAUGUGAGGCCCUGGGUUCGAUCUUCAGCGCCACA
Molecule: transfer RNA, 71 nt
Filed under: Marmota monax (woodchuck)
Lineage: Eukaryota; Metazoa; Chordata; Mammalia; Rodentia; Sciuridae
Description: tRNA.Ala
Source: RNAcentral